GACGAACGCUGGCGGCGUGCUUAACACAUGCAAGUCGAACGGAAAGGCCCUGCUUUUGUGGGUUGCUCGAGUGGCGAACGGGUGAGUAACACGUGAGUAACCUGCCCUUGACUUUGGGAUAACUUCAGGAAACUGGGGCUAAUACCGGAUAGGAGCUCCUGCUGCAUUGUGGGGGUGGGAAAGUUUCGGCGGUUGGGGAUGGACUCGCGGCUUAUCAGCUUGUUGGUGGGGUAGUGGCUUACCAAGGCUUUGACGGGUAGCCGGCCUGAGAGGGUGACCGGCCACAUUGGGACUGAGAUACGGCCCAGACUCCUACGGGAGGCAGCAGUGGCGAAUAUUGCACAAUGGGCGGAAGCAUGAUGCAGCAACGCCGCGUGCGGGAUGAAGGCCUUCGGGUUGUAAACCGCUUUCGCCUGUGACGAAGCGUGAGUGACGGUCAUGGGUAAAGAAGCACCGGCUAACUACGUG
Molecule: ribosomal RNA, 468 nt
Filed under: uncultured bacterium
Lineage: Bacteria
Description: partial 16S ribosomal RNA
Rfam family: Bacterial small subunit ribosomal RNA
Source: RNAcentral